UGCUCGCUUCGGCAGCACUAUACUAAAAUUGGAACGAUACAGAGAAGAUGAGCAUGGCCCCUGCACAAGGAUGACAUGCAAGUUCAUGAAGCACUCCAUAUUUAA
Molecule: small nuclear RNA, 105 nt
Organism: Suncus etruscus (white-toothed pygmy shrew)
Lineage: Eukaryota; Metazoa; Chordata; Mammalia; Eulipotyphla; Soricidae
Source: RefSeq, a predicted model, not a curated record